RNAcentral lists this ribosomal RNA (253 nucleotides) under uncultured bacterium. Its description in RNAcentral is "partial 16S ribosomal RNA". It matches the Rfam family "Bacterial small subunit ribosomal RNA", at positions 524 to 776 of the family's 1533-position model. The record is from RNAcentral.
UACGGAGGGAGCUAGCGUUGUUCGGAAUUACUGGGCGUAAAGCGCACGUAGGCGGCUAUUCAAGUCUGAGGUGAAAGCCUGGUGCUCAACAUCAGAACUGCCUUUGAAACUAGAUAGCUUGAAUCCAGGAGAGGUGAGUGGAAUUCCGAGUGUAGAGGUGAAAUUCGUAGAGAUUCGGAAGAACACCAGUGGCGAAGGCGGCUCACUGGACUAGUACUGACGCUGAGGUGCGAAAGCGUGGGGAGCAAACAGG